RNAcentral lists this ribosomal RNA (355 nucleotides) under Klebsiella pneumoniae. RNAcentral describes it as "partial 23S ribosomal RNA". It matches the Rfam family "Bacterial large subunit ribosomal RNA", at positions 529 to 888 of the family's 2925-position model. Lineage: Bacteria; Pseudomonadati; Pseudomonadota; Gammaproteobacteria; Enterobacterales; Enterobacteriaceae. The record is from RNAcentral.
GCGAGGGGAGUGAAAAAGAACCUGAAACCGUGUACGUACAAGCAGUGGGAGCACCUUCGGGUGUGACUGCGUACCUUUUGUAUAAUGGGUCAGCGACUUAUAUUCUGUAGCAAGGUUAACCGUAUAGGGGAGCCGCAGGGAAACCGAGUCUUAACUGGGCGUUAAGUUGCAGGGUAUAGACCCGAAACCCGGUGAUCUAGCCAUGGGCAGGUUGAAGGUUGGGUAACACUAACUGGAGGACCGAACCGACUAAUGUUGAAAAAUUAGCGGAUGACUUGUGGCUGGGGGUGAAAGGCCAAUCAAACCGGGAGAUAGCUGGUUCUCCCCGAAAGCUAUUUAGGUAGCGCCUCGUGAA